GGAGAGUAGGUAAAUACUGGUUUGUUACGCUCGCCUGCUAAGUGAGUUUACGUAUAGUACGUGAUGAAGGUUCGAUUCCUUUGCUCUCCG
Molecule: transfer RNA, 90 nt
Filed under: Aquimarina brevivitae
Lineage: Bacteria; Pseudomonadati; Bacteroidota; Flavobacteriia; Flavobacteriales; Flavobacteriaceae
Rfam family: tRNA
About the family: Transfer RNA (tRNA) molecules are approximately 80 nucleotides in length. Their secondary structure includes four short double-helical elements and three loops (D, anti-codon, and T loops). Further hydrogen bonds mediate the characteristic L-shaped molecular structure. tRNAs have two regions of fundamental functional importance: the anti-codon, which is responsible for specific mRNA codon recognition, and the 3' end, to which the tRNAs corresponding amino acid is attached (by aminoacyl-tRNA synthetases). tRNAs cope with the degeneracy of the genetic code in two manners: having more than one tRNA (with a specific anti-codon) for a particular amino acid; and 'wobble' base-pairing, i.e. permitting non-standard base-pairing at the 3rd anti-codon position.
Source: Rfam by way of RNAcentral